AGAGUUUGAUCCUGGCUCAGGAUAAACGCUGGCGGCGUGCCUAACACAUGCAAGUCGUACGCCCUCGUGCAAGCGAGGGAGUGGCGGACGGGUGAGUAACACGUGGGUGCAUCUCCCCAGAAGUGAGGAAUACCGGCGAGAAAUCGCCGACAAAACCGCAUACGCUCGGGCAACCGAGCAAAGCCCGCAAGGGCGCUUCU
RNAcentral lists this ribosomal RNA (200 nucleotides) under uncultured bacterium. RNAcentral's name for it is "partial 16S ribosomal RNA". It matches the Rfam family "Bacterial small subunit ribosomal RNA", at positions 8 to 222 of the family's 1533-position model. The record is from RNAcentral.